Molecule: ribosomal RNA, 300 nt
Filed under: uncultured Pyrobaculum sp.
Lineage: Archaea; Thermoproteati; Thermoproteota; Thermoprotei; Thermoproteales; Thermoproteaceae
Description: partial 16S ribosomal RNA
Rfam family: Bacterial small subunit ribosomal RNA (bases 52-300)
Source: RNAcentral
GCGAAGACACUGCCGGGGGGGGCGGUAAGAAGAAGGGGGCGGGGGUUAAUCGGAAUUACUGGGGGUCAAGGGUGAGCAGGGGGGUUAGUAAGACAGAGGUGAAAUGCCCGGGCUUAACCUGGGAACUGCGUUUGUGACUGUGUGACUAGAGGACGGUAGAGGGGGGUGGAAUUCCUGGUGUAGCAGUGAAAUGCGUAGAUAUCAGGAGGAACAUCGAUGGCGAAGGCAGCCCCCUGGACCUGUACUGACGCUCAUGCACGAAAGCGUGGGGAGCAAACAGGAUUAGAUACCCCAGUAGUC